This 428-nucleotide long non-coding RNA is filed under the name Camponotus floridanus (Florida carpenter ant). Its description in RNAcentral is "uncharacterized LOC112637618, transcript variant X1". Lineage: Eukaryota; Metazoa; Arthropoda; Insecta; Hymenoptera; Formicidae. The record is from RNAcentral.
UUAUACGGUUAUAUUUUAUCUACCACCUUACAUUACCUUUAUCCUAAAUUAAAGAAGGGGAGCUUCGCUGAACUUUUCGCCGUCAAACGUAUCUUUAUUUUUGCACAGUGAUGAUUUCUAUACAAACUCAGCAUUUUACCUUUCACCGAAUUCUUCUGCUCGCGGUUGGAUUAUGGCCUUAUCAGCAAUCAAGGCUCGUUCAAUUUCAGUUAGUCUUGUUUUUUAGUAUUCUAAUUAGCUUUAUCAUAUUCGAGCUUACAGUAUUUAUAUCUGCAGAAUGCACUCCUGAUUUUGUUAUCAAAGUUCUUUCUGUCGUAUUAUUGCCUAUUAUAUAUGCAAUUGAAUAUAAUUCGUUCCGAAUUAACGUUCGAGCUGUGCAAUAUUUAUUGGAGCAACUUCAACAUGUAUAUAAUCAAUUAAAAGAUGAA